GAUGAACGCUGGCGGCGUGCCUAAUACAUGCAAGUCGAACGCUGAAGCUUGGUGCUUGCACCGAGCGGAUGAGUUGCGAACGGGUGAGUAACGCGUAGGUAACCUGCCUCUUAGCGGGGGAUAACUAUUGGAAACGAUAGCUAAUACCGCAUAAAAGUCGAUAUCGCAUGAUAUUGAUUUGAAAGGUGCAAAUGCAUCACUAAGAGAUGGACCUGCGUUGUAUUAGCUAGUUGGUGAGGUAACGGCUCACCAAGGCGACGAUACAUAGCCGACCUGAGAGGGUGAUCGGCCACACUGGGACUGAGACACGGCCCAGACUCCUACGGGAGGCAGCAGUAGGGAAUCUUCGGCAAUGGGGGCAACCCUGACCGAGCAACGCCGCGUGAGUGAAGAAGGGUGUCGGAUCGUAAAGCUCUGUUGUAAGAGAAGAACGAGUGUGAGAGUGGAAAGUUCACACUGUGACGGUAACUUACCAGAAAGGGACGGCUAACUACGUG
Molecule: ribosomal RNA, 497 nt
Filed under: uncultured bacterium
Lineage: Bacteria
Description: partial 16S ribosomal RNA
Rfam family: Bacterial small subunit ribosomal RNA
Source: RNAcentral